Long non-coding RNA from Saccostrea cuccullata (small rock oyster), 991 nucleotides. RefSeq lists it as uncharacterized. NCBI's taxonomy places the organism in Eukaryota, Metazoa, Mollusca, Bivalvia, Ostreida, Ostreidae. The record is from RefSeq and is a predicted model, not a curated record. The transcript has 7 exons.
ACAGCACAUUUUAAUCCAAAAACUCAAAGAGAUUAAAGAAUUUUUGAUAUAUUAUGAGAGUCUGUCGACAGAUCUGAAUGUGUGAGAUGCUUGUACCAAAAGUAUGAAAGUCAAUGUUUAAUCCAUAUUAAUCAUACAAUGAGACCUUUCCUUCAUUUACAAUCAAAAAUUAUCAACACCUUUACGAAAGUUGUUCUGAAUAGAAGCAUACCAGUCUUUAUAUUUCUGCUGAUAAUUACAGAGGUGAAUGUGCACGUUACAAUUCCUUCUUGUUUGACUGGUGUUAAAAGAGUCCCCACCUGUCCAAGGACAAAAAGAGCAAUGGCUUGUAUUGGAAGCGAAGAAAGGCUGCUCUAGAAUUUCCCUUAAGUGUAAUAACAUGGCUCCUCUCAAAUAUCACUGUCUUAUAAAUGCAUGGAGAAAUGCGACAUUUGAGUUAUGUGGUCCAGAUUCGGAUAUCAUAGGGUUUUCCUGUGCUGAGUACAACGAAGGAGGGGAAAGGAUUCAACCAAAUUAUGAGAAUAAAUGUGACAAUUUCAGCAAUCCCUGUCCAUUUAAAUAUAAAUCAUCUUUGGGAUAUUUAUAAUCAGAGUGUUUUAUUCUACUUCCUGAAAACGACGAAGGGAAGGAAAAACAUCCACGAAAAACUGAGAUAAGAUAUUUUCCAGAACAACAAAUGGAGGAACAAAGGUCAAGUUUUGCCAGUGCAACGCCUUUGUUUAUCCUCUUCCUUUUCACUUUGAUUGUUACUACCCACGUAUGCAUAUAUGUUAAAAGGAAACGAGAUCUCAGAAUUUUGAAUAACUCAGAUGAUAGACAGACCACUGAGGUUGUCCUCUAAACUAAUUGACGCUUUCAUCAUUAUCCAGAUAUACAAUGGUUUAUGAAGAUACUUGUACAUAAACUGUAAAGAAAAUGUAAACCUGAUUCAUUGAAAAACAUAAUCUGCUUUUUUGCUUCUCCAUUUAUAUAAUGAAUAAAUCUAAUACUU